AAUUUAGAUGAAAAAUAUUUUGUUACCCGCCUCGGUUUCGAAUAGGAGAGGAUACAAAUUUACCCGUAUUUCCCUCUGGUUAGCCACAAGUUCUUCACUUUCUUCUCUUCUUUUUUCUUUGAUCAGUGUUGCAGAGAGCUCAACAUGUCGAAAAGAAAAGAUGAUGGAAAAGACGAGAAUCUGAAACGCCCCAAGCAGCAGUUUUCUUUAGCCAUGAUUUUUUCGAGGAAGCCUUCCGCCGUGCGUAGUCGCCCUCCUGCACCUCCGUCUCCUCACAGCUUCUUCGCCGACAACCUCUGCCUCAUUGAUUCCGACGCCGCUGCUAAGGAUGACGAUGAUCAGUGUUGCAGAGAUCUAAACAUGUUGAAAAGAAAAGAUGCUGGAAAAGACGAGAAUCCGAAACGCCCCAAGAAGCAGUUGUCUUUUGCCAUGAUUUUUUCGAGGAAGCCUUCCGCCGUGCGUAGUCGCCCUCCUGCACCUCCGUCUCCUCAAAGCUUCGUCGCCGACAACUUCUGCCUCAUCGAUUCUGGUGGUGGUGCUGCUGAGGAUGACGAUGAUCCGACGGCGGUCACGUCGACCGCCGAAUCAGCCAGUCCGACAUUCUCCUUCUCGACUGAUUGCGCUUGUUCUCUGCCUCCCGUUUAUGGUGGCAAUUUCAUACUACCUGUUUAUGUCGGUGACGGUCCGGUGUCGCCUCAACCCACCCCCCCAAUCCGAUGAAGACUCUUUGGCUUCGCCUCCAGACAGCCCUCUCUCACCCGGCUAUGCUCCUCUUUCGCCGGAGCAUUACAUCCCAUGAGCUUUGGCAAUAUUGUUGAUUAAUUCAAUAAUCAGUACUGUUUAUGCCGUCAUCUAUAGAUUCAAUAACUCAGAAAGCAAGAAAGAAGGGUUAAUUGAGGAUGAUGUCGUAUAUAGUCUGUGUCGGUGAUGAUUGAGGAAAAACCCUCAUGAACCCAUGUAUUAUUCUUCUAUCAAUUUUAUUGUAACAGAUUGAGUGAAGUUGGAAUCAAUAUAGGAAAAUCAAUAAAAAUAUGGGAAAUAGCUGGUUGAUAAUUACGGUGUGUGGAUGAAUAAGAAUAUGAUGAACAGAGAUUUUUACUCUCCCAAAUCAUCCUCUUGACAUUUAAUCAAUUAGUAAUUUGAUUUGA
This 1148-nucleotide long non-coding RNA is filed under the name Carica papaya (papaya). RNAcentral's name for it is "long non-coding RNA (CPAP_LNC009954)". The record is from RNAcentral. Lineage: Eukaryota; Viridiplantae; Streptophyta; Magnoliopsida; Brassicales; Caricaceae.